This 358-nucleotide unclassified non-coding RNA is filed under the name soil metagenome. RNAcentral's name for it is "partial contains 5.8S ribosomal RNA, internal transcribed spacer 2, and large subunit ribosomal RNA". The stretch from base 1 to 120 matches the Rfam family "5.8S ribosomal RNA", at positions 35 to 154 of the family's 154-position model. The record is from RNAcentral.
GAUGAAGAACGCAGCGAAAUGCGAUAAGUAAUGCGAAUUGCAGAAUUCAGUGAGUCAUCGAAUCUUUGAACGCACAUUGCGCCCUGUGGUAUUCCGCAGGGCAUGCCUGUUCGAGCGUCAUUUCAACCCUCAAGUCCCCUGUGGACUUGGUGUUGGGGAUCGGCGAGGCUGGUUUUCCAGCACAGCCGUCCCUUAAAUUAAUUGGCGGUCUCGCCGUGGCCCUCCUCUGCGCAGUAGUAAAACACUCGCAACAGGAGCCCGGCGCGGUCCACUGCCGUAAAACCCCCCAACUUUUUAUAGUUGACCUCGAAUCAGGUAGGACUACCCGCUGAACUUAAGCAUAUCAAUAAGCGGAGGA